This 275-nucleotide ribosomal RNA is filed under the name uncultured bacterium. Its description in RNAcentral is "partial 16S ribosomal RNA". It matches the Rfam family "Bacterial small subunit ribosomal RNA", at positions 523 to 797 of the family's 1533-position model. The record is from RNAcentral.
AUACGGAGGGUGCAAGCGUUAUUCGGAAUCACUGGGCGUAAAGGACACGUAGGCGGGAAGCCAAGUCUGAUGUGAAAUCCUACAGCUUAACUGUAGAACUGCAUUGGAAACUGGUUACCUAGAGUAUGGGAGGGGGAGAUGGAAUUAGUGGUGUAGGGGUAAAAUCCGUAGAUAUCACUAGGAAUACCUAAAGCGAAGGCGAUCUCCUGGAACAUUACUGACGCUAAGGUGUGAAAGCGUGGGGAGCAAACGGGAUUAGAUACCCUAGUAGUCCC